Molecule: ribosomal RNA, 57 nt
Filed under: Phocaeicola plebeius
Lineage: Bacteria; Pseudomonadati; Bacteroidota; Bacteroidia; Bacteroidales; Bacteroidaceae
Description: partial 23S ribosomal RNA
Source: RNAcentral
GUGUAAAGCUGGAGACAGCAAAGCCGAGCAUUACUAAUUGCCCGUCAGCUUUCCUUA